Molecule: long non-coding RNA, 898 nt
Organism: Micropterus dolomieu (smallmouth bass)
Lineage: Eukaryota; Metazoa; Chordata; Actinopteri; Centrarchiformes; Centrarchidae
Exons: 3
Source: RefSeq, a predicted model, not a curated record
GUUUUGGUCAACUUGCUCUGGUUCGCUGUGAUGGCUUCAACACAUGGAAAUAAAAUGUGUUUUAUUAGUUUGGAGCUGGAAGUUGAUGUGUGUCAUUAUUCUCCUUUAAUCCCAGAAGCAAAGCAGAUAUUAUUUUAGAUGAACUGAGCUCAUUCUAGCCGCCUCGCUGUCUUCUUCCUAAAUCUUUAUUUGGACUGUUGUUUGGAUGUUUAACACAGGGAGAGCAUCUCAACACGUCUUUAGCACUUUGUACUUUUUAAGUGUAAUUUCUGCUGUUUUAGUGGUAGGCAUGCUGCUGUUUAGGAUGGGAUUCAGAGCAGCUGUUUUGCAGCAGCUCUGUUAUAUUACUAGAUAAACGUAGGAUUGAUGGGGCCACAUGGAACUGACGGAACUGAUUUAAAACCUCUAAGAGGGAAAACACUCCCGUUAUUUACAGACCCAGAGAUAGCAGCACCUGAUCUACUGAAACAAGCUGUCCAGAAAAUGAGAACAUUUAACAAGGACAUGCACGAAGGACCUUAUGUCCUUUUGUAUCCAGACUGCUCAGAGGUGGUCCAUGUGCCUGGUUCAGAAAGGCCAUUUAAAUUGGCAGAAUAUAAAAAGGAAAUAGGAAAGGCAUAUUCCAGGAUUACUUUUUUCAUUUGCCUAGAAAAGCUCUUUAAAAGAGAGUACGAUACCUCAGAUUCUGAUUCUGAAAUUGUCAUCACAACAAGGAGCAGAGCUGAAUUCAAUCGAGCUGACACUUUGGUUUUUGAACCACAAAAUCGAAGUACUCCCAAAUACAAACUGGAAGAUGAAAGGUAGGUGUUGCGCACUUGGACACAAAGAAACUUUCAGGCUUGCAUGGGUUGAAAUUAUUUAUUUACGUCUUGACUGGAAAUGAUGAUAAUAAUUCAUA